GAUAAACGCUGGCGGCGUGCCUAAUACAUGCCAGUCGAGCGAACGGACGAGAAGCUUGCUUUUCUGAUGUUAGCGGCGGACGGGUGAGUAACACGUGUAUAACCUACCUAUAAGACUGGGAUAACUUCGGGAAACCGGAGCUAAUACCGGAUAAUAUUUUGAACCGCAUGGUUCAAAAGUGAAAGACGGUCUUGCUGUCACUUAUAGAUGGAUCCGCGCUGCAUUAGCUAGUUGGUAAGGUAACGGCUUACCAAGGCAACGAUGCAUAGCCGACCUGAGAGGGUGAUCGGCCACACUGGAACUGAGACACGGUCCAGACUCCUGCGGGAGGCAGCAGUAGGGAAUCUUCCGCAAUGGGCGAAAGCCUGACGGAGCAACGCCGCGUGAGUGAUGAAGGUCUUCGGAUCGUAAAACUCUGUUAUUAGGGAAGAACAUAUGUGUAAGUAACUGUGCACAUCUUGACGGUACCUAAUCAGAAAGCCACGGCUAACUACGUG
RNAcentral lists this ribosomal RNA (497 nucleotides) under uncultured bacterium. RNAcentral describes it as "partial 16S ribosomal RNA". It matches the Rfam family "Bacterial small subunit ribosomal RNA", at positions 28 to 507 of the family's 1533-position model. The record is from RNAcentral.